GCAGAAAUGUCUGAGACAUUCCCCUCCGGGGGUAGUAUGCACGCAAGUGUGAAACUUGAAGGAAUUGACGGAAGGGCACCACAAGAACGCGUGGAGCAUGUGGCUUAAUUUGACUCAACGCGGGAAAUCUUACCGGGUCCGGACACACUGAGGAUUGACAGGCAAUAUCGUGUAUUCACUCUUCGUAGUGAUACACGUGUUAAAUAUGCUAGUCCUUUCAUGAUUAUGUGAUAGGUGGUGCAUGGCCGUUCUUAGUUCGUGGAGUGAUCUGUCUGCUUAAUUGCGUUUCACUAAGGAACUAUAUUCUUA
Molecule: ribosomal RNA, 309 nt
Filed under: Foraminifera environmental sample
Lineage: Eukaryota; Foraminifera
Description: partial Eukaryotic small subunit ribosomal RNA
Rfam family: Eukaryotic small subunit ribosomal RNA
Source: RNAcentral